UACGUAGGCAGCAAGCGUUGUUCGGAGUUACUGGGCGUAAAGAGUGUGUAGGCGGUUCUCUAAGUUCGGUGUGAAAUCUCCCGGCUCAACUGGGAGGGUGCGCCGAAAACUGGAGGGCUUGAGUAUGGGAGAGGAAAGCGGAAUUCCUGGUGUAGCGGUGAAAUGCGUAGAUAUCAGGAGGAACACCUGCGGUGUAGACAGCUUUCUGGACCAUCACUGACGCUGAGACACGAAAGCGUGGGUAGCAAACAGG
This 253-nucleotide ribosomal RNA is filed under the name uncultured bacterium. RNAcentral's name for it is "partial 16S ribosomal RNA". It matches the Rfam family "Bacterial small subunit ribosomal RNA", at positions 524 to 776 of the family's 1533-position model. The record is from RNAcentral.